CCGAUGAACUAAUUCUCCGUAAAGGACAUGAGCUUAUCGAAAACGGUUUCGAGAACGUUCGCAUUCUUUUUACAGUGUAUCGGUUUACGUUCAACGUCAUUCAUUUGGUAUCAUUCAUUCAAUUAAUUCGCGAUUAAGAUUGACCAUGUAUUUAUACCGUGCAAGUACAUAUGUACUAAAAAAUACUUACGUACUUCGGUAAUUAACUGAUCUACGAUGAGAAGACGAGAUUGAGUAUAAUGGUAAAAAAUGAGUUAUGGUAGUUACUGGAAAUUACAUGUACCCGCAAUGCAUUGACAAGCACUCGGGCGCCUAUUAGCGUCCACGCGUGUUAAUGAAGAUUUCGCGUAGUGGUUCACGUGCGGUGCGAUCACUUCACGUUUUCUUCAAAAUACGUAACCGAUUCGACACGCAACGAAACUUGACCGUGUUAUUUGUAACGAAUUAAUUGAUUAAUUGUUUAUUUUAAAAUAUUGUGAGUAUAUACUUACGUUUUAUGUUAUUCCAAUAUUCUGGGAAUCUGGUAUGUUUAUGGAUUAUAUUAUAUAGAUUCUCUGAAUAGGACAGUGGCGCACGGGUUAAAUUCUAAUUUACGCGAUAAUACUCAAGUUUAUCGUAUGACAUUUUUUUCUUUCGUUUCAACUUAAAAACAUCCGAAAAACCGACGUAUUUUUUGCUAAAUCUUCCGAAUAUUACGAAAUGGUAAAUUAUUUGGUAACAUACAUCUAAUACUUGCAAAUGAGAUGCGUUAAAAUAUCAUAAUAAUAUAACUAUAAUUAAUGCGAAUGAUCGUUCAAAGGAUUUGAGUAAACGUAGUCUAGACAAGGAAAAACAACUUGAUUUGUUAAGGCUAUGGUAUUGUUUGUUUUCAGUUAAAUGAUUUACGGGUUUUUUAAAAAAUUUAUUUUGCACAUUAUACGUUAUUGUACAAUGGUAGAUAUAUUGAAAUAUAGAAAGUAUAUAGUCUCAGAUAUUUGUCCAUCGACGAUAUUUGCGAUAAACGAAUACGUGUGAAAAUAUAUCACAAAAAUCUAUGAUAAGCUUGUUUAUUUGACUCGUCGGAAACUAAUAAAGAAUUCCUGACACGAUCCCUUAUCUCGAGACACACAGUCUAACCUGUUCCAUUACCGUUUUCCCUAAUCUUAACGAUCGUUGUUACUAAUUUAGGAAACGAUAAAUCAUAACAUGUUUUAUCGUAAACCUGUUACGUUACACAACGAAAUCUAGAUCAAAUUAAUCUAUUAAUUUUACGCUAACGACACGUGUACUUAUGCGAUUAUUUAUUUAAAAAAAUAUUCUUUUUCAACUUUGAUUUCUUAUUUACAUGUACUAUUUAUCGCUUACUGCCAUUUAUAAGACGAUUAUUUAAUUAAUGCAUUGCGCAACAUAUAGAUAAAGGAAAACAGGACAGUUUAUUUAACGAGUUCAUGCGAACAGUUAAAAUAUAUAUUUAAACGAAAAUUUUCUGCUUCGUUAAAACGUUAAUAAUACGUAUAAACUUUAUUAUCAAAGGAAAUUUUGUAAAUUGAAUGUUAAAAUGAGGAUCCUUCCAGAUGACCAGUCUUGACCAGUCAAUUUAUCUGUUCUCACCUGAAUCACCUGAUGUGUCGUGUGAUUUUAUUGUAA
This is a non-coding RNA of Osmia lignaria (orchard mason bee), 1626 nucleotides long. NCBI's taxonomy places the organism in Eukaryota, Metazoa, Arthropoda, Insecta, Hymenoptera, Megachilidae. The record is from RefSeq and is a predicted model, not a curated record.